This 536-nucleotide ribosomal RNA is filed under the name Anopheles barbumbrosus. RNAcentral's name for it is "eukaryotic LSU rRNA". It matches the Rfam family "Eukaryotic large subunit ribosomal RNA", at positions 291 to 669 of the family's 3401-position model. The record is from RNAcentral. Lineage: Eukaryota; Metazoa; Arthropoda; Insecta; Diptera; Culicidae.
AGUGGGAGUACUCCUUCUAAGCUAAAUAUACCCAUGAGACCGAUAUCAGACAAGUACCGUGAGGGAAAGUUGAAAAGCACUCUGAAUAGAGAGUCAAAUAGUACGUGAAACCACCUAGGAUAUUAUAAACCUAUGGAACCUGGUAGAACCGGGGCAGAGAUAUUCAACUGUGUGUGGGGUGCGCUCAUCCGUGGGCGCGCACUGCCGCAGGGCACUUAUCUUCUGCCAUAUACCGGCGUCGCGAUCCUUUACCAAUUAUGCUCGAUUGGUGGUGCGCAAGCGCCGCCAUGAAUAUUCGGCCGCUAUGGUCCCAGGCUCGCACUGGCGUCCCCCAAGUAGUGUCACUCAGCUAUGAAGCCGGUGACGCAAACGGGGGGUCGAGGCUCCGGCCUCGUGUUCGGUCGAGUUACGGUGCACCGGUCGGAUAGGUGAUGGGAUGAUCGACAACUAGGCGGAAGCAAUUCUUGUCUUGUUUAGAUCUGCGAUGUGAAAUAUUGCUGGUGAACCCAUGGGACCCGUCUUGAAACACGGAAAAA